CCUUGGUCUUGCGGAUCGCGGUGAACCUUUUGCUGAGUUCCUGUGGGGCAGAAAAGGAAAUGUGGACAUCUGCACUACCAUCACCCUUCGUGUCAUGUCCUGUGGGAGCCAGGGCCCCACCUCCCCCAGCCUGCACCAAGCAUUGUGUAACAAGGGGAAGUAGAGGUUGGAACAUCCGGCAGACGCACCACCUACCGGCGGAAGUCCAUACUGCAGCCCAGCCGGAGUCCAGGUCAAUUCCAACCCAGAGAUCAGCUUCCUGUCCCAGAGGCAGGGCUCUGGAGGGCUGAGGAGAAAUCCACAGGGAGCCGGUAAUGGCAAGAGGCGGCUUUGGGCCAGGGAAAGUGCAGGAGAUGUCUCUGUUCUAGUAGCCAACUCCCUGCCAGCCUCCUCUCUGCCUCAAGCUGUUCCCGCCCAGACUCUGCCUGGAGAAGUGGCAGAUGCACCCCUGCCUCCAACCCAUCCCUAGAGCAGCUCUGAUUCCAGCGUGAAAAUAAUGUACGAGGAAUUGGUAUUAAAGUCACAUGUCAUUUAGUUUAAGAGAAGUGGCCCUGGUGCUUGCAUAUAACCCAAGGGGACCCGCACAGCUGUACGCUUGAUGUUAUUUGGGAUUUUCGUGACUGGAAAUCCAGUUUUCCAUCCAUUUAUUACCAUCAUUUUGGACAGAGGUGUUGUCAGAGCUCACCACUUUUACUUUAUGCCUCCUACCACACGGGCCUUUCCUGGGCAACCUCUCUGCCUCCUCACGGACUUGACAAUGACCUCAACCCCAUAGGGCUGAAGGCUUACAAGCCCCUUUCCACCUGGAAAAAAUGUCUGGAUUUUUGAUGAUUAGAUUUUGCCAGAGCUCAGCACUGGAAGCAGAGAGCUGGGCCACAGGAUCAUACAACGAGCUGUGAGUGAUUUCUGGGGCUACCCAUCUCCACACUGGACAGACUCAAAACUUCUGACAAUGAGCUGCUUUGACUGGGAAGGGACAUUUCUGGCGGCCUGGAUGCUCCCUGCCAUCAAGGUCUCCAGAGCUACAGAGGCUUCCCUUGGCACAGGACAGCUUGUCACACUACCCGGGACCUUCCAUUUACCUGAUGCCCCAGGGCCCAUCACAGGGCCUGGAACAGAGCUGGGGAUGAGAGGUUUGUUAAACGAAUAAAAGCCACUGCCUCCA
Molecule: non-coding RNA, 1165 nt
Organism: Callorhinus ursinus (northern fur seal)
Lineage: Eukaryota; Metazoa; Chordata; Mammalia; Carnivora; Otariidae
Source: RefSeq, a predicted model, not a curated record